UACGUAGGGGGCGAGCGUUGUCCGGAUUUAUUGGGCGUAAAGAGCUCGUAGGCGGCUUGGCAAGUCGGGUGUGAAACCUCCAGGCUCAACCUGGAGACGCCACUCGAUACUGCUAUGGCUAGAGUCCGGUAGGGGACCACGGAAUUCCUGGUGUAGCGGUGAAAUGCGCAGAUAUCAGGAGGAACACCGGUGGCGAAGGCGGGACUCUGGGCCGAUACUGACGCUGAGGAGCGAAAGCGUGGGGAGCAAACAGG
This 254-nucleotide ribosomal RNA is filed under the name uncultured bacterium. Its description in RNAcentral is "partial 16S ribosomal RNA". It matches the Rfam family "Bacterial small subunit ribosomal RNA", at positions 524 to 776 of the family's 1533-position model. The record is from RNAcentral.